Molecule: ribosomal RNA, 490 nt
Filed under: uncultured bacterium
Lineage: Bacteria
Description: partial 16S ribosomal RNA
Rfam family: Bacterial small subunit ribosomal RNA
Source: RNAcentral
GAUGAACGCUAGCGGCAGGCCUAAUACAUGCAAGUCGAACGGGAUUGCGGUAGUAGCUUGCUACUACUGCAUGAGAGUGGCGCACGGGUGCGUAACGCGUGAGCAACCUACCCAUAUCAGGGGGAUAGCCCGGCGAAAGUCGGAUUAACACCGCAUAACAUCAACAGUUCGCAUGUUCAGUUGAUUAAAUAUUUAUAGGAUAUGGAUGGGCUCGCGUGACAUUAGCUAGUUGGUAGGGUAACGGCUUACCAAGGCAACGAUGUCUAGGGGCUCUGAGAGGAGAAUCCCCCACACUGGUACUGAGACACGGACCAGACUCCUACGGGAGGCAGCAGUAAGGAAUAUUAGUCAAUGGGCGCAAGCCUGAACCAGCCAUGCCGCGUGCAGGAGGACUGCCCUAUGGGUUGUAAACUGCUUUUAUCAGGGAAUAAACCCCUUUACGAGUAGAGGGUUGAAUGUACCUGAAGAAUAAGGAUCGGCUAACUCCGUG